AGUAAUCAUGUUGGGAGUCUGGCUCUCGAGAUUCGGAGGGCGGUGCCUCUUCGAUUUUGGAGCAAGCAAUCUUGUUGGGAGUGUUGUCUCGAAUGUGAGUAAAGGUUGGGCAUGUUUGUUAGUCUACCUUGCCACGAAGCACAAAGGUUGACACACAGGGACUUUCCAAUUAUCCAGCAAUGGUACUGUUCCUUUACCCUCUCUUCGAUUUUGAGAAAGUAGUCAUGUUGGGAGUCUGGCUCUCGAGGUUCGGAGGACGGUGUCUCUUCGAUUUUGGAGCAAGCAAUCUUGUUGGGAGUGUUUUCUCGAAUGUGAGUAAAGGUUGGGCAUGUUUGCUAGUCUACCUUGCCACGAAGCACAGAGGUUGACAAACAGGGACUUUCCAAUUAUCCAGCAGUGGUAUUGUUCCUUUACCCUUGUGGGUAAUAAUAUGGUAGCUAGAACUUCAAAAUUUAUGUGUCUAAACUUUGUUAGUGCUGUUUCUUUGCUAUUCUUUUACCUUUCUUGGUCAGAGCGAUGUAGUGGGAGCUGCAAGCUUCACGUGCUCAACUUUGGCAGAGAACUUUGGCAAAGUUAUCUGUGGUACCCAUGAGCUAUUGUUGCGUGUGGGAAGUGGGUGAUUGAACAGUAAGAUUCAUGUGCUUUCUACUUCACCAGAAGCCUUCGACAGAAUGCCCAUAAUUUCUGCAAAGCUGAGUGUGCGUGUGACAGGUGCUGACAAGGCUAGAAAAGUAGGUGCCUCUUCGAUUUCUGAGAUCGGCCCUCGUGGUCUCUGAGCAGCCCAGCUUUUGAGAAAGCGAGCGCCUCUUCGAUUGAUUCGGAGAACGAUGCCUCAUCGAUUUUUGAGAAAGCAAUCAUGCUGGGGGUCUGGCUCUCGAAGAUUCGGGGAGCAGUGUCUCUUCGAUUUUUGAGAAAGUAAUCAUGUUGGGAGUCUGGCUCUCGAGAUUCGGAGGGCGGUGCCUCUUCGAUUUUGGAGCAAGCAAUCUUGUUGGGAGUGUUUUCUCGAAUGUGAGUAAAGGUUGGGCAUGUUUGCUAGUCUACCUUGCCAUGAAGCACAGAGGUUGACACACAGGGACUUUCCAAUUAUCCAGCAAUGGUACUGUUCCUUUACCCUCUCUUCGAUUUUUAAGAAAGUAGUCAUGUUGAGAGUCUGGCUCUCGAGAUUCGGAGGACGGUGCCUCUUCGAUUUUGGAGCAAGCAAUCUUAUUGGGAGUGUUUUCUCGAAUGUGAGUAAAG
Molecule: long non-coding RNA, 1236 nt
Filed under: Malus domestica (apple)
Lineage: Eukaryota; Viridiplantae; Streptophyta; Magnoliopsida; Rosales; Rosaceae
Description: long non-coding RNA (MDOM_LNC001996)
Source: RNAcentral